Bubalus bubalis (water buffalo) is the source of this 1027-nucleotide long non-coding RNA. RefSeq lists it as uncharacterized. The record is from RefSeq and is a predicted model, not a curated record. The transcript has 2 exons. Lineage: Eukaryota; Metazoa; Chordata; Mammalia; Artiodactyla; Bovidae.
GCUAGACACCUCAGCUGCCAAGGCAAACGGCCCUGCUUCCUACCACUGCACCUUCUUACCUGCCUUCUUCCUCCUCUGCCUGCAAAACUAUUCACUUUCGACCCCUGUGGUUCCAGGGCCCUGCGGAAGAUUUGAUGAGGAAACUGGGAAUGACUGAGUGAUAAAGCUAGGAUUCAGAGCUUCUCUGGGGGUCUGUCUAGCGGUAAAGAAUUCGCCUGCUAAUGCAAGAGAUCUGGGUUUGAACCCUGGUCGGGGAAGAUUCCACAUAAUGCAGAGAAACAAAGCCCAAGCGCCACAACUACCGAGCCCAGGACCUAGGGCCUGUGCACCCUACCAAAAGAAACUACGCCAACAAGAAGCCUGCACAUCCCAACAAAGAGUACCCCGUGCCACAAGUGGAGAAAGCCAGCAUGCAGCAAUAAAGACCCAGCACGGCCAAAAAUAUAUAAUACAUCAAUAAAUGAAUAAAGUUUAGAAAGGAAUAUUAAAUUAUAAAGAAAAAUAAUGAGUUUCAUAAAAUAUAUUUUUUUUAAAGCUAGGAUUCCCAAGGCCUCAGAGCCCACCUUCCGAACUAUAGCAUCUGCCAGUUGAUCAUGUCCAUCCUCUGUGUGUUAAGUUUGGCAGAGCAACCACACAUUUCUUUCACUUGGAAUCCAGCAACACUGAGUCUGCAUUCUUUGUUUCCUUGAACAAGAAACAGCUGGUGCAGAACUGUGGCUUCCUCUUUGGGGUGAGACAAGUACUCGCUAGAUCCACACAGUCCCAUCCAGCUUGCUUCAGUCCUAGCAGAAGCACUACUGGCCCCACCUUAUUAACUGAGACCCGAAAAUAAGCCUACUGAAGGUCAAGGCCAUUUCUCACACUCUAGAGAGCACCUCAGGACCACACGGUGUGCCUGCACCCCUCGCUGGCUGAUAGAGAGAUGGCUGAGUGUGACUGCAUACAGAGAAAGAGGAGAACUUUUGCUUUUCACUUUAUAACCUACUCUGCAGUUUGACAGUUUUACCAUGAGCAGAUAUUAUUUGUA